UUAAACAAGUUAAAAUCUAGGCAACAGACUCCUUGAAGUGUUGACUGCCCAACUUAAUCAUGACUGUGAUUCAAAAAUGUUAAUAAAUAAACAAAGGUGUAGAUCAUGGGGAAUUCAUAUGCUGGGCAACUGAAAUCUGCUCGAUUUGAGGAAGCUCUCCACAACUCCAUAGAAGCCUCCCUCAGAUGUAGUAGUGUGGUACCGCGGCCAAUUUUUUCCCAGCUAUACCUGGACCCUGACCAGCAUCCUUUCUCAUCUGCAGAUGUCAAACCCAAGGUGGAGGAUCUGGACAAAGAUUUGGUAAACCGCUACACUCAAAAUGGAAGUCUGGAUUUUUCUAACAAUCUAACAGUUAAUGAAAUGGAAGAUGAUGAAGACGAUGAAGAAAUGUCUGAUUCAAACAGCCCACCAAUUCCCUAUUCACAAAAACCUGCCCCAGAAGGAUCUUGCACUACAGAUGGUUUUUGUCAAGCAGGAAAGGAUUUGCGUUUGGUAUCACUGUGUAUGGAACAAAUUGACAUCCCAGCAGGAUUCCUCCUGGUGGGGGCCAAGUCUCCCAAUCUGCCUGAACACAUCCUAGUUUGCGCUGUGGACAAGCGAUUUCUACCGGAUGAUCAUGGAAAAAAUGCACUUUUAGGGUUUUCUGGAAAUUGUAUCGGCUGUGGAGAAAGAGGAUUUCGAUAUUUCACGGAAUUUUCCAACCACAUUAACUUGAAGCUUACCACUCAGCCAAAGAAGCAGAAGCACUUAAAGUACUACCUAGUCAGAAGCUCCCAGGGUGUACUGUCUAAGGGACCUCUUAUCUGCUGGAAAGAAUGUAGAAGCCGACAAUCCUCUGCUUCUUGCCACUCUAUUAAACCAAGCUCUUCAGUGUCGUCAACUGUGACCCCAGAAAAUGGGACAACUAAUGGAUACAAAUCAGGAUUCACUCAGACAGAUGCUGCUAAUGGAAACAGUAGCCAUGGAGGGAAGGGCAGUGCAUCCAGCUCCACUCCAGCCCACACAGGGAAUUACUCUUUGUCACCAAGACCUAGCUAUGCAUCAGGAGAUCAAGCUACCAUGUUCAUUUCUGGGCCACCAAAGAAACGACACCGGGGAUGGUAUCCUGGGUCACCUCUCCCCCAACCUGGCUUAGUUGUACCUGUCCCUACAGUUCGCCCUCUUUCAAGAACGGAGCCCCUUUUAUCUGCCCCAGUUCCACAGACCCCACUAACUGGAAUUUUACAACCCAGGCCCAUUCCUGCAGGGGAAACUGUAAUUGUUCCUGAAAACCUGCUGAGUAACUCAGGAGUUAGACCAGUAAUUCUGAUAGGCUAUGGCACUUUACCCUAUUUCUAUGGAAAUGUUGGUGACAUUGUUGUGAGUCCUCUGUUGGUGAAUUGCUACAAGAUUCCACAGUUGGAAAACAAAGAUUUGGAACAAUUAGGGUUGACUGGCAGCCAAUUUCUGAGCGUGGAAAACAUGAUUCUUCUGACGAUACAGUAUCUUGUGCGGCUGGGUCCUGAUCAGGUACCUCUCAGGGAAGAAUUUGAGCAAAUUAUGCUGAAAGCUAUGCAAGAAUUUACUCUGAGAGAAAGAGCCCUGCAGAUAGGUGCUCAGUGUGUCCCUGUGUCACCAGGACAACUCCCCUGGCUUGCUAGAUUAAUUGCCAGCGUAUCUCAAGACUUGGUUCAUGUGAUUGUGACCCAGAACUCUUUGGCAGAGGGCAUUUCAGAGACCUUAAGGACUCUCAGUGAAAUGAGACACUAUCAAAGGCUGCCAGAUUAUGUGGUGGCAAUCUGUGCAUCGAAAAUCAGAGGAAAUGAAUUUUGUGUGGUAGUGUUAGGUCAGCACCAGUCCCGAGCUCUGGCAGAGAGCAUGCUCACCACAAGUGAGUUUUUGAAAGAAAUUAGUUAUGAGCUUAUCACAGGAAAGGUCAGUUUCCUGGCAUCACAUUUCAAAACCACAUCAUUAGGCGAUGACCUAGACAAGCUGCUGGAAAAAAUGCAACAAAGAAGAGGAGACAGUGUGGUUACCCCUUUCGAUGGAGACCUUAAUGAAUGUGUGUCACCCCAGGAGGCUGCUGCUAUGAUUCCCACACAAAACCUGGAUUUAGAUAACGAAACCUUCCAAAUUUAUCAACCGCAGCUAACAGUUGCCAGAAAACUCUUAUCCCAGGUGUGUGCUAUAGCAGACAGUGGCAGCCAGAGCCUGGACCUCGGUCACUUCAGCAAAGUAGACUUCAUCAUCAUUGUCCCCAGAUCGGAGGUGUUGGUUCAGCAAACUCUUCAACGGAUUCGACAAUCAGGUUCCAGUCCACGUUCACACAUUGCAUUCAGUUAUGUCCUCUUCAUCUCCUCCAAUCUAUGACAUUUCUUCAGUCUUUCCUGGCUUUUCAUGACCUUAAGUUAAUACUAAUCAAUUGUUUUGUGUAGGGAAUGUUUGCGUUUUCUCACAAUUAAAUUGA
This 2446-nucleotide small RNA is filed under the name Pongo abelii (Sumatran orangutan). RNAcentral's name for it is "processed transcript". Lineage: Eukaryota; Metazoa; Chordata; Mammalia; Primates; Hominidae. The record is from RNAcentral.